GCUGGGGGAAGGAGCCGGGCUCUGAGAAAAGGAGUUUGAGUUUUUUUUUCUCCCCCGAUGUCAAUGCAGAGCUGCUCCUGGCUCCGUACCAGCCCAAGGAUCUUUGAAGGGGACCUAAAGCCUGCUGCAUGCAUCUAAUCAAAAAGGCAUGGGUACUCCUGCACGAGUCUUUCAUCUGAGUAAAGCACGAAAGGGAUCCUAAGCAAUCAGUGUUUUCUGCUGCAUCCACCACACCCCAAGGACAUCACACAGAGACAGAUGCCAGGCUCUUCAGUGAGGAUCAGCCUUUGAAGACCAACAGCACAGCCUGGCAUCACUUCGGCUGCCGGGUGCCCCUGGAGAGCAAAACCUUCAGUUCUGGAGGAAUUACUCUGUAGAGGGAAAUAGGAGCAGUUUGACAGCCUGACUCAUGAUCUUUGUAUUAUUAUUACUGGUAGUGAAACUAUGAUAGGAUCCAGGAGCCUGAACCAUGGAUCAGGAAUGUGCUUUUGAAGAGAAACUCCUGGCCUUGCUGCUUUGGCUUGUGUUACAAGGCAGUCUUAAGGCAGGCACACAUGGGGGUUUUUUUCAAUAGCAGCUAAACUGGAAGCUGUGAAGGGUGGCCAGUCCCCGGGAGUGGGCUAGAGGCACCCUAAAGUUAUCAGCUAAAAUAUGUGUGGUGUGGAUGGUGGGUUCUCAGCUCCAUGAAUCCAUUCUGUCCUGAACCUCCCUGCUUUGGAGCACUGGCACAGCCAGCUCCUGCACAGGAUAUGCAGUCAGCAGGAAUAUUGGCUGGUUUACUCUCUCUUCCUGAGGUUACUGAAAGGCUGAGGGUGUCGCAGGAUAGAUGCAAAGCAGAGCCACUGCUUUAGGUGUUUUCAUUCUGGUUCUCAGUAGCAUGAGGGUUGUUGUUAGUAGUUUUAUUAUCUUUUAAAUCUAAUUACUUCUAGGAAGUUGAAAGAUGAGGAACUCAAAAUGAAGAUACUGAUGAAUAAUGGUGUGACAAAGGGGAAAAUAUCUGAAAUAUUUCUCAUUAAUAUGGCUUUUUGUUGAGGUGUGUUAUUUGCUAGAGCAACACAGGCUGUUAAAAAAUCCAAUAAGUACACAUAAAACAAAAAACACCAGGAAACUAGUUUAUAAGGUAAUAUAAGGUAAUAUAACUUUCUUCCAUCAAAAAGCAGUUUAUCCAGUAUAACAGUAGGAUUAAAACAAAUAGAUUUACAUAAUAGAAAAGAUGGAGUUCCCUGUUUUCCAGAGACUGUCAUGGGAAUCAGGGGCAGCUUCAGAAGGGACUUGUAGGUAGGAAGUUGAGUGGAGUUUGCCUACUUUUAGUUGAUGAACAAGGGACCUGCUGCCUAGUGAAGAUGCUGAGCAGCAGGAGAGUGUGCUGGUUAGAUUGACCUGCAGGAGGUUGGACUCACAUCCUGACAAGAGGGGAUCCAGGGGGACCCUGGGUACAUGAGUGGUUGUGCCUAAUUAGGGGGGAAGCAUACCGCUUAUUUUGACCAAAGUAGGCAAGUCCUGGAAGUUGUCCUGAGAGCAGCACUGUGCUGUGAGAAAAUACUGUUAUCCCACUUUGCAGGCUGAGGUAGGGGAAUGUGGCUCAGGAAGAGGACUUUGGUGUUUAUGGAAGAUCUCUCCAUUGCACAUGUUUUUUUCAAGACAUCUCACUCUCCUCUGAACUCUCCAGGCUGUAAUGUACCUGAGGGCUACCCAGGCUCCCAGUCAUCUUGAUUUAAGCACUUCUACCACUACCCUCAUCCUAUAUAUGCAAUGUUUUAACUCUUUUCCACAUUUUUUAGUAUAUGAAGAAAAUUUAAAGGUGAAAAUAGUUUUUGAAAUCAUAGAAUGCAAGACCUACAAUAUAUUACUGUACUUUAUUGAUGAUGUUUUUUUCCAUAAUAAAAAUAUUUAGUACAAAGUA
This is a non-coding RNA of Zonotrichia albicollis (white-throated sparrow), 1903 nucleotides long. NCBI's taxonomy places the organism in Eukaryota, Metazoa, Chordata, Aves, Passeriformes, Passerellidae. The record is from RefSeq and is a predicted model, not a curated record.